CCGGCAAGCUGAAGCCGCCCCGGCACUCCGUCAGAGGACCGCGCCCGCGCGCCGAGCUGCCUUAAGGGGCUUGACCUGGGGAUGUCCCUAGCCCAGGCUAAGAAAAAGAAUGAGAUCACAGAUAAAUGUGCCAAACAAGAUGUGGACUUGGAACUGACUUCCAGGAAAGAACACUCAAAAGGUGAGAAUAACACAAGACAGAGUUUGGUGAUGAACCUAAAUGAUUGGUUAAGGCCCAAAGAAGUCAGACUUGAUCCAAUUUUCUAAGUGUCAAUUCCAACAUCAUCUUCUAACCAACCCUGAAAAGGCACUCCAUCUGUAAGCCCCAGAUCAAAGGUACUCACAUGCCUGGCAUCCUCAGGAGAGUUUCCAGAGGCAAAUCCAGAAUGUCUCCAUGAUGGGUCAGCCUUGCAGAACAUUAUGUUUUACUGCUAGGCUACAUCUAG
Tupaia belangeri chinensis (Chinese tree shrew) is the source of this 446-nucleotide long non-coding RNA. RefSeq lists it as uncharacterized. Lineage: Eukaryota; Metazoa; Chordata; Mammalia; Scandentia; Tupaiidae. The transcript is spliced from 4 exons. The record is from RefSeq and is a predicted model, not a curated record.